RNAcentral lists this long non-coding RNA (4520 nucleotides) under Nicotiana tabacum (common tobacco). Its description in RNAcentral is "long non-coding RNA (NTAB_LNC000374)". Lineage: Eukaryota; Viridiplantae; Streptophyta; Magnoliopsida; Solanales; Solanaceae. The record is from RNAcentral.
AAGCUAACAAUACGAGUUGAUAACGGGUCUUUUGACGGAUUAUAUGAGUCAACCUAUAUUUUGUACUGUUUUUUAGCUUAUGUACUAGAUAAAGGUGGGCCCAACAGGUUAAGCAGUAUGCUUGAUUUUUUCAAGUAUUCCGGCGUCACCAAAAUAGUACUCAUCUCUAACUAUGGACUAUCAUAACCAGUAGGCUUUUCAUCCAUCAUAUAAAUAGUAUGUAUGAUAGUACAAUAUCUGCAAAAGAGGACGUAAAACACUCUACAAUGCUACUGCUAUCCGGAUAACCAUAGGUACUGAUUACAGCUAAAUACUAUUGAUGUAAUAGCCACAAGAAUAUAGAAAAUUUGUAUUUUCAGCACAAGCACAUUUAACCCAUCAUUCCCUUUCGACAAUCAACUACAGUGCCCAUCUCAGUUGCCACUCUUGUUAUAUCCGAAACACCUAUCAGUAAAUAUAGAUAUGUGAGACGAAAUACAGAUAUGAGAGAAGCACUUUGAACUUCCAAUUGUUAGUAGACCAAUAAAUCAUCGUCCGUAAUUUGGACAUAGUACAAGCAAGAAAAAAUAAACGGGAGCUUACCAAUAUACAUCUUCAAGCCAGUAACUAUUAUGUCAUCUCCACAUGUAAUUGCAACAUGAAAUAGGUGUAUAAUUGGUUGCAUCUGCUGGUUUGUAAUAUUUUACCAGUGUAAUUCCCCACCUUCAACAGUACGAAGAGGCAAAUUACCUUGAGUAAUGAUGUAAAAUGCAAGGAUAAGGAAGUCACAACUGACAAACCUCAUCAUAAGAGAAUUUAACAGAGAAUAAUUCACUGUUUCAGAAUAAAGACAAUCAAUUGCACCAUAACAACUACCUUAUCAUAUGUUAUCAUCAGAUGCCUUGAAAACUUUUUGGCCUUUAGCUCCUCUUCAUCCAAUGGGCAAGAACAAUCGCUUUCAAGUAUAACAAAUCAUAGUAACAUUCAUACACAAUCUCAAACUGAUAAAAAGAAGAGCUUGGUAAAACAUACAGGUUUUUAAGACACAUAAAACCAGUUUACCUGAGUGGAUCUCAGCACCUCUUCAAAUGCAUAUUUAUUUUGUUUCUUUUGUCAUCUUGGUGAACUACUUCAAAAUCAACUAAAAGCUACCGAGCAUAUUAAAAUUAAACACAAAUUUUCAAGCCAAGCGAAAAUAUUACAACAGUAACCAAUCUCCUAAUAAGUAAAGCAUGGCAUUAACUGUCAAAGUCAAAGACGUAUCAAAUGAAGGGAAAACAUUUAAAGGAAAUUUAGAAGUUUACAAACAGUGUAAAGUGUAAACAUUAAUUGGCAGGCCUUAUUUGAAGAUCCCGGAACAAUAAUGAAGCGCCUCCUAAAUAUUAUGUGGUUCACAUUAAGAAAAAAUUAGAAGUCUAAUUAAUUACAUGGGAUACCUAAAUAUGCGAUUUUAUUUUACAGUAUUUCCGGUAAAGAAUCUCUCUACCUGCAGUCAAGCUAACCAAAAUAAAGAUCAGUGAUUCAUCCAAAAGAAAUGAAACUGUUGAAUGACCCUGUGUGACAAAGAGGUCAAAUUAGAUUCCCAGUUUUCACAAGCAUGGAUCCAAACUGUUUCAGUAACUUCUUUUGUAUGUAAAAAAGAAAACUUCUCUUUGUUUCUCUCUUAUAAGUAGAGACAACGAAGCACCUAGAAUCAUAAGGUAAACAGAAAUAACUGAAAAAAGAAACAAAAAGAACAAGCAAGGAGCUCACCUCAAAUCAUUAAUGAACGGUGAAAGAAAAUCAAAUAUUGAUAGGCACAAAAAAUCGAAGCAACAACUGAAGAACACAGAGAUAAAAAAAACUUGCUGGAUGGAGAUUUUGAUGCGUUUUGGCAUUGAGAGAAAGUAAUACUUCAGUCUCUAUGUAAUGUUCAAAGCUAGUUUUUACAACAUAAUCCUUGUCAAAAGAACCAUGAAAUAAUACCAGAGAAGGGAGAAAGCAGUGAGAUGCAUAAGAAAUAUAAUAGAAAGCCUACUUCGAAUAAAUUUCUCAAACACCUAAGUUACAAAAGCUCUUCGCAUGUUAAAGUUUCUGUGCCCGAUAGCCCUAAGACCUCAUAAGAAAACACAAAUUCCUAACAUGUCAUCGAAGAUAAAACAGAUGAUAGAAGAAACAAAAGCUAAAAAGAAGAAUACCCACCAGAAAAUAAUGAUCCAGAAAGAAAAAUUCAGUAGCAACAUUAAGAUCAGAGGAGUAAGAGGAGAACUGUUUGGAGAUAGAGAACUUUGAGAAAUCUAAGAUCGAUAAGAGAAACGAAACAGUCACUCCCCAUAUGAUGAAAAUGAACUCCACAUAUUGGCCAAGCAAUACAGAGAAUUAGCAAUAUUGAAUAGCAUUAGCAACAGAUGUAAAUUAUCGUGUUUCUAUGCAUAUAAUUUUAUCAUACAUUGUAUAGUUCUCAUUCAGGAAGGAAAAAUCACUGGGAGAAAUAAAAGGACUUACAAAUUGGUCAUAUAUCUGUGAAUUCCUGAUAAAUUCUUUAUAGCUGAUAAAUUGUUUAAUUUCUACCGUUCAUUUGUGCGACCCAAGUAUCGGAUGAUCAUGUAAAAUAACAAAUAGAUGACUUUACAGUUUAAAGACGUGCAUUUUUUCACGAAGCUUUUCUUUGAAAGAUAAUAAAGUAUAAAAGAAGAAAAAAUUAGGAACCAGAGAACUAAUAUACGAUGCGCAUUGACUCAAGUUGCAGGAUUUUGCAAAAUACAAUUAAAAGAAAGCUAAGAGAGUACGAAUAAGUGCUAUAAUGGAGCACCAUUUUGUUCUAUGUUUGAAUUGAAUUCAAACUUUGGGUGUUACCUCGUGUUUCCAGUGGAAGAGAAAAUAAGCACAAAAAGAUUCAAGAGUCGGACCAGUGGCGGACCUAGAAUUUCAAGUCAAUGGGUGCUCGAGCAAUCACCCUUCUCUGUUUGGGUCUGUCUUAGCCGCAACCCGUAACCUGUGAAAAGAGAGACGAACCAUACUUCUGAAAAGGUGAUUGUCAUUUUACAUCUAAAGAUAAAUUCAUCAUUUUUUGUAUUACUCUAAGCUAAUUCUGAAUAAUUGUACAUCAGUCACUACAUGGACAUAAAUAAAUAAGUUCCAAAUGAAAAUAUUGCUUCUAAACCAUUCUCUGGCGAAGUGCUUUAGCAGCCUUUGCGAAUCCUCUUAACCUCAUGCAGCAGAAGACUAUCCAAUGCUAUAGGUGCUUAAUGAACAAUUCAUAUCAUAUAGUAUUAAAAUAUCAAUUUUAUUAUAUAUGCUCAUUAGCAGUUUAAUGGGUGUUUCAGCAGCCACUCUUCUAUAUGUGGGUCCGCCUUAGGUAGGAGUGAUAAACGCUGGAAAUAAAGUGAUAAACACGUCUGUUCAAAUAUUUACUUAGCACAUCAUUCAUACUAAGUUCUAAUGCAAGGAACAUCUUACACAAGUAAAGAUCACUAAGAAUCUCUACAUAAGUUUUGAUCAUAAUUCUCAUUGUUCUUAACAGAAUGUUUUGAAGAACCUUGGUAAUAACAGCUACUAACUCUCUAUCAUACUGGUCAUGCUAUGGUGAUAACUUAUUAGUGAAGUUUACUUUGAGAUAUCAUAAACUUAUAUAGAUCUAUUCUUAUUACAUAUUUCAGAAUUGGCAAAAUAGUUAGCUGUAUUUUUAUUUUUGCAAUAGAUAUCUGCAACUUGUUUAUACCGUCUCACUUGCUUAAUUUUAUACAAAGACUCCCUUUUUUUUUAAUCCGGUCAUCCGGUGUAUUUAGUUUAUCAACUUCAUUUUAGCUUUUUCCGUAAGUUACCAAUUUUUUUAUCAGGGGUGAGUUAUCUAUCUAUCAAUAUCCAACUUGUAGAGACUCUACUUUACACAAAACCCCUAAUGGAAGCUUUCAUAGCCUUGUUUUAUUAAAGAUCAUAAAUUUUAGAAGUUUUUUCAAUGACACGAAUGUUAUGAUCGGUUUAAGAUUAGAAGUUUCAAAAGUUUUUCAUUCUUUUUUAAACACCCCAAGUUAAAGAGAGGGCAUAGUUCGUCCGUGUAUUACCUUUUCAUAUCGAAAUCCAAAGCAGGUCCAACCAGCCACUUCUCUUCCCAAGUCAUGAAGCCACAAAUUAAACCCAAAGAUAAUUAGAAAAUCUUAUGGAAAUCCUAAUUCAUUGAAGAACUUUCCGAAACACUUACAGAGCAACAGAAAGCAGCGAUGGGAACACAAAAUUCAAAUAAUAGAAAAUUGCAAAAGAUAAUACUCCGUAGUAUUGGAAAUACGUGAUAAAGGAAAUCAGAAUCAAAGGGGCCCAAAUAAUGCAAACUAAAUUAAUAGAAACAGUGCUAAUAGAACGCUCACCUGAAGAAGGUGUAAAAUCUAUAAACCGCAAAGUUGAGAACAAAGAGGAGCUGUCUGCCUGGUACGGAUAAGAACAAGAAGAGUGAGAAGAGAGAAGCCAAAGAAGAGCUUGUAGAGAGCGGUGAUUGCCAGAUUUCCCAAAGUGGUCGAUAUAAUCCAAGUGAAGUUAAAAGAAGUUAGAUGGAAAGACAAUAUUAC